RNAcentral lists this ribosomal RNA (600 nucleotides) under Dehalococcoides mccartyi. RNAcentral's name for it is "bacterial SSU rRNA". It matches the Rfam family "Bacterial small subunit ribosomal RNA", at positions 922 to 1533 of the family's 1533-position model. The record is from RNAcentral. Lineage: Bacteria; Bacillati; Chloroflexota; Dehalococcoidia; Dehalococcoidales; Dehalococcoidaceae.
CGCACAAGCAGCGGAGCGUGUGGUUUAAUUCGAUGCUACACGAAGAACCUUACCAAGAUUUGACAUGCAUGAAGUAGUGAACCGAAAGGGAAACGACCUGUUAAGUCAGGAGUUUGCACAGGUGCUGCAUGGCUGUCGUCAGCUCGUGCCGUGAGGUGUUUGGUUAAGUCCUGCAACGAGCGCAACCCUUGUUGCUAGUUAAAUUUUCUAGCGAGACUGCCCCGCGAAACGGGGAGGAAGGUGGGGAUGACGUCAAGUCAGCAUGGCCUUUAUAUCUUGGGCUACACACACGCUACAAUGGACAGAACAAUAGGUUGCAACAGUGUGAACUGGAGCUAAUCCCCAAAGCUGUCCUCAGUUCGGAUUGCAGGCUGAAACCCGCCUGCAUGAAGUUGGAGUUGCUAGUAACCGCAUAUCAGCAAGGUGCGGUGAAUACGUUCUCGGGCCUUGUACACACCGCCCGUCACGUCAUGAAAGCCGGUAACACUUGAAGUCGAUGUGCCAACCGCAAGGAGGCAGUCGCCGAGGGUGGGACUGGUAAUUGGGACGAAGUCGUAACAAGGUAGCCGUAGCGGAAGCUGCGGCUGGAUCACCUCCUUU